AAGACUGCUCAAAAUCUCCUCAGAGCUCAGAACUUCAGUUGGAAACCCUGGCCUGAGAAUUCCAACAGAUUUUUAUCUCUCAUUCUAAACUGGUUUAAGAUCAUUUGACAGAAUUUUUCUCUCCUGCCACUUAACUUAUCAGAAAACUAUUCCAAAUCCUAUUCAAUAAUAUUCCCAAUAAUCUACAUGUAAAAAUAAAAUUUAAAUCACAUUUUAAAAAAGAAUUAUUGAGAAGGGAAGAAUGUCUUUGCCAGGAACACCCCAUGGUCAGCAUGGUCCAUAGCAUCAUGAAGAGCUGGAUAUGACUUAAUGACUGAACAAAGGCUGAAUAGUUGCAUUGAUCCUAUGGAUCCUGGUAUCACAUUGAGCUGUGUUAGGAAACCUAUGGAAUUCAUGCAGGAGGGAGCUGUUUCCUUUCACCUCUCCACAAGAGACUGAGAACAUUUCUCACAUCCACCCCUCUGUACAGCAGCCCAAUGGAAGAGCUUCCCUCAUCCACUGUCUGGGUGUGCAAAGGUAGAGUGUUACUAUGCUGAGGAGCACAACAAUAGCUACCACAGUUUAUGUGCUGCUGGAUGGACUUGCAAAACCUUCCUAUUGAAUAUUAAUGGUUGCGAAGAAAAUGGAUACCAGCAUGGAGCUAUCUGUGAAGAUGGAAUUAAUGAAUACAGGUGUGGGUGUCUUCAAGGAGGUGAUGGAUUCUUCUGCGGAAUAAAGACAAAUAUGUGUGUGUCUGAGACCUGUAAAAAUGGAUCUACCUACAUGUGUUUAAAUGACCAUGUCUUCUGGCAGUGUGACACUGGAUUUAUAGGUAAGUGUUUUCUUAGAUAUCUCACUUUUCUUUUUUUAAAUUUUUUCCUUUAAAACCUUUACCAGAAUUCUAUGUUAGAAUUGAUACUACGUAUUGGUUCUAAGGCAGUAAAGUGGUAAGGGCUAGACAAUGGGAGUUAAGUGACUUGCCCAGGGUCACUGAACUCAGGAGUGUCUGAGGUCACAUUUGAACCUAGCACCUAUCAUGUAGAGGUCUUUAGGUCUUUAGGUCUCUAGGCCUGGUUCUCAAUUCACUGAGCUAUCCAGCUGCCCCAACUGUUUAUCUUUCUUUAGAACAGGUUACUGAAAUAUUUCUUUGCCAUCAUAAAUCUAGCUAAAUUAUUGGCAUAAUUUUUUGACUUUAUUAUUUUUUAAAAAGCAAAUACCUUGAUUUGCAAAAGCCAUUUUCACUUCUCUAAUACUUACUAUGCAUGAAAAUGAAACCCAGAAUGCUGGGCAGCACUAUGGAAUGGCAAUAGCCAAGGGUUUCACAGAAAAAUAAGCAGUCAUUUCAUGAAGGAAGUAUGCUUUAUAAGCACUGCACUGAAGAUUUGGCAUUGCCUGUCUAGACAAAUGAUCUAAUUACAUUGUUCUCUGCUUUAAAAACAGAACUUGGGUGUUUUCCUUUUUCUAUGUAGUUUGAUGCUCUUACAUGAAAAAGAGGGGUAAAGGGAAGAAUGACUGAAAAAUAAUUCGUCUGUUAAGUUAUACUGGGAAAUAUAUAAAGCCUGUUAAAAAUAACCUAUUUUUUGUAAAUAAUAUUAUCAAAACUUGCCCAUUAAAAAAAGUACUCUUCUUAUAGCAAUAACUAUGCAAUAU
This is a long non-coding RNA of Monodelphis domestica (gray short-tailed opossum), 1629 nucleotides long. NCBI's taxonomy places the organism in Eukaryota, Metazoa, Chordata, Mammalia, Didelphimorphia, Didelphidae. The record is from Ensembl.